GGUCAUUUAGAGGAAGUAAAAGUCGUAACAAGGUUUCCGUAGGUGAACCUGCGGAAGGAUCAUUAAUUAUGUUAAAGCGCCUUACCUUAGGGUUUCCUCUGGGGUAAGUGAUUGCUUCUACACUGUGAAAAUUUGGCUGAGAGACUCAGACUGGUCAUGGGUAGACCUAUCUGGGGUUUGAUCGAUGCCACUCCUGGUUUCAGGAGUACCCUUCAUAAUAAACCUAGAAAUUCAGUAUUAUAAAGUUUAAUAAAAAACAACUUUUAACAAUGGAUCUCUUGGUUCUCGCAUCGAUGAAGAACGUAGCAAAGUGCGAUAACUAGUGUGAAUUGCAUAUUCAGUGAAUCAUCGAGUCUUUGAACGCAGCUUGCACUCUAUGGUUUUUCUAUAGAGUACGCCUGCUUCAGUAUCAUCACAAACCCACACAUAACAUUUGUUUAUGUGGUGAUGGGUCGCAUCGCUGUUUUAUUACAGUGAGCACCUAAAAUGUGUGUGAUUUUCUGUCUGGCUUGCUAGGCAGGAAUAUUACGCUGGUCUCAGGAUCUUUUUUUUUGGUUCGCCCAGGAAGUAAAGUACAAGAGUAUAAUCCAGUAACUUUCAAACUAUGAUCUGAAGUCAGGUGGGAUUACCCGCUGAACUUAAGCAUAUCAAUAAGCGGAGGA
This 662-nucleotide ribosomal RNA is filed under the name Rhizopus sp. F36. Its description in RNAcentral is "eukaryotic LSU rRNA". The stretch from base 259 to 412 matches the Rfam family "5.8S ribosomal RNA". RNAcentral also lists the same sequence under 1 other name. Lineage: Eukaryota; Fungi; Mucoromycota; Mucoromycetes; Mucorales; Rhizopodaceae. The record is from RNAcentral.